Molecule: ribosomal RNA, 478 nt
Filed under: uncultured bacterium
Lineage: Bacteria
Description: bacterial SSU rRNA
Rfam family: Bacterial small subunit ribosomal RNA
Source: RNAcentral
GACGAACGCNGGCGGCGUGCUUAACACAUGCAAGUCGAACGAAGAGCGAUGGAAGUUUGCUUCUAUCAAUCUUAGUGGCGAACGGGUGAGUAACGCGUAAUCAACCUGCCCUUCAGAGGGGGACAACAGUUGGAAACGACUGCUAAUACCGCAUACGAUCUAAUCUCGGCAUCGAGGAUAGAUGAAAGGUGGCCUCUACAUGUAAGCUAUCACUGAAGGAGGGGAUUGCGUCUGAUUAGCUAGUUGGAGGGGUAACGGCCCACCAAGGCGAUGAUCAGUAGCCGGUCUGAGAGGAUGAACGGCCACAUUGGGACUGAGACACGGCCCAGACUCCUACGGGAGGCAGCAGUGGGGAAUCUUCCGCAAUGGACGAAAGUCUGACGGAGCAACGCCGCGUGAGUGAUGACGGCCUUCGGGUUGUAAAGCUCUGUUAAUCGGGACGAAAGGCCUUCUUGCGAAUAGNGAGAAGGAUGACGNU